Long non-coding RNA from Aedes albopictus (Asian tiger mosquito), 730 nucleotides. RefSeq lists it as uncharacterized. The record is from RefSeq and is a predicted model, not a curated record. The transcript is spliced from 2 exons. Lineage: Eukaryota; Metazoa; Arthropoda; Insecta; Diptera; Culicidae.
GGUACCUUGUGGUAUGCACAUAAUAAAUUAUUGUGUUACUUCAUUACGUUUAGCGUGUAUGUUUACAUUGAGUAUCUGUCAUAUGUGGAGAUGUUGUUAUUGUUGUCUGGAGUGUGAAUCAUUGUAUGUAAUAUUGAAGUAUCGGUAAUAAAGUGUAUACAAAUAAUGAAUACAGUUGUUGAAUAAUCAUUACAGAGAAAGAUUCUCACAUUGGCGACGAGAACGGUGAACAGUGCAUGUGAAAUUAGUUUAAUUUCGGUUCGGGAAGUGUUGUCUUCGGAAAAAGAAAGAGAUGAGUGGUGUGUGUGGUGCAUGCAGAGUGGUGAUGACCUUCAGGUGAUGACUUGUGAUUGAAUUUCAACAUUGGAAUCAAAAAGGUACAACCAUAAGUAACAGCCAAGUAAUUUACCAAAAUGCCGAGCAGAGAUGGAUGACCAAAUGGAUGACUGUACUACUAAUUCUGAUGUGAGACUGAAGCGAGACGUUCAUAAACUGAGGAGACUAUAAGCGAAAACAACGUGGAGUGACCUUGCUGCGGAUCUGGAGAAAAAACGAGAUGUGGUACCUUGUGGUAUGCACAUAAUAAAUUAUUGUGUUACUUCAUUACGUUUAGCGUGUAUGUUUACAUUGAGUAUCUGUCAUAUGUGGAGAUGUUGUUAUUGUUGUCUGGAGUGUGAAUCAUUGUAUGUAAUAUUGAAGUAUCGGUAAUAAAGUGUAUACAAAUAAUGAA